CAAAAAGUAGCUUACAACUAAAGCAUUCGACUUACACUCGAACGAUAUUACUAAGGUAAUCUUCUUGA
This 68-nucleotide transfer RNA is filed under the name Malayopython reticulatus (reticulated python). Its description in RNAcentral is "tRNA-Val". Lineage: Eukaryota; Metazoa; Chordata; Lepidosauria; Squamata; Pythonidae. The record is from RNAcentral.